This 492-nucleotide ribosomal RNA is filed under the name uncultured bacterium. RNAcentral describes it as "partial 16S ribosomal RNA". It matches the Rfam family "Bacterial small subunit ribosomal RNA", at positions 29 to 507 of the family's 1533-position model. The record is from RNAcentral.
AGUGAACGCUGGCGGUAGGCCUAACACAUGCAAGUCGAACGGCAGCACAGUAAGAGCUGGCUCUUACGGGUGGCGAGUGGCGGACGGGGGAGGAAUACAUCGGAAUCUACUUUUUCGUGGGGGAUAACGUAGGGAAACUUACGCUAAUACCGCAUACGACCUACGGGUGAAAGCAGGGGAUCUUCGGACCUUGCGCGAUUGAAUGAGCCGAUGUCGGAUUAGCUAGUUGGCGGGGUAAAGGCCCACCAAGGCGACGAUCCGUAGCUGGUCUGAGGGGAUGAUCCGCCACACUGGAAGAGAGACACGGUCCAGACUCCUACGGGGGGCCGCGGUGGGGAAUCCUAGACGAUGGACGAGUGCCUGAUCCAGCCAUACCGCGUGGGUGAAGACGGCCUUCGGGUUGUAAAGCCCUUUUGUUGGGAAAGAAAAGCAGCAGGUUAAUACCCCGCUGUUCUGACGGUACCCAAAGAAUAAGCACCGGCUAACUUCGUG